CAGUGAUAAAGCAGAAAGUGUAAACAUUGAAAAAGAAACAUUAUCAUUUUGUUUUAACAUUUUAACUUCACCUAAAACCUAUCUCAUAGAAUCACAAAAGCACAGGUGAUAGAGAGCUGGGCUGAAAUACAAGAAGAUCUGGGUUCACAUCCUUCUGCACAUUUAUCAUGGCUAUGAGAUCAUAGGCAAAUCAUUUAAGCUAUCUGUACUCCAAGAAACUUCUAAGAUUAAAUUGCAUAAGAGAUAGUGAUCUGCAUUGGUAAAGGGAAAUUCCAAAGCAGAUGCUUCCCUAAGUUAAUGAAAUUCUAAAUCUCAUAUGAAACAAAAGCAAUUCCCUUUCCAAACCGCCUUCCAACCUUGUAUUAUUCCUCAAACAUAGUUUAACAUUCUAAAGAAGUUUAAUUACAGAUUAACCAUAGUAGUUAAAUAUUCACAUAGUUUAAAUUGUAAUAUGUGGUUAAAAUGAAACAUAAGGUCAGGCUUUUUAUUCAUCCUAAUGUGUCUUUUCCCCCAACAAUGAAAUAAUUUUUAAAAAGGACCUAAUGUAAUUAAUGUUUUUCAAAAUUAAACUUGUUAUUUACCUAAGAAUCCACUGGGGGUCAUUGCUGUUCACUAAGAUGCAACUGAAAGCACUCUAUAGUUUGAAAAUAAAAAAGUUAACUUUACCAAAGAGAGGGAAACAAGGGAGGAGAAGCUGCUCGUCUGGGGGGAAAAAAAGAGUAAGUGCUCAAAAGUAUUAGGAGUUCAAUAAAGAUUAAGAUUUUUAGCACACAUAUGAUGAAUUUGUAAAAUAUAGGGAAAAAAUCCAAUCAGUUCAAAAGAAUAUUAUUAAAAAAAAAAAAGAACAUAAACAUUUCUCUUAUAUUGCUAUAAAUUAAUAAGGAAAAUAACAUAAGUAAUUUCUCAUUAUUUGAGUUUUAGAAGUAUGUAUCAUCAACUCUGGAUGCCUCUGUUUAUAAGUACCUCAAAGAUGUUAUUUUUGAAUUAUAAUCAUUUUUAUGUAACUAUAGGGAG
Molecule: long non-coding RNA, 1014 nt
Filed under: Sarcophilus harrisii (Tasmanian devil)
Lineage: Eukaryota; Metazoa; Chordata; Mammalia; Dasyuromorphia; Dasyuridae
Description: lncRNA (ENSSHAG00000029892.1)
Source: RNAcentral